AGUGAACGCUGGCGGUAGGCCUAACACAUGCAAGUCGAACGGCAGCACAGUAAAAGCUUGCUCUUACGGGUGGCGAGUGGCGGACGGGUGAGGAAUACAUCGGAAUCUACUUUUUCGUGGGGGAUAACGUAGGGAAACUUACGCUAAUACCGCAUACGACCUACGGGUGAAAGCAGGGGAUCUUCGGACCUUGCGCGAUUGAAUGAGCCGAUGUCGGAUUAGCUAGUUGGCGGGGUAAAGGCCCACCAAGGCGACGAUCCGUAGCUGGUCUGAGUGGAUGAUCAGCCACACUGGAACUGAGACACGGUCCAGACUCCUACGGGAGGCAGCAGUGGGGAAUAUUGGACAAUGGGCGCAAGCCUGAUCCAGCCAUACCGCGUGGGUGAAGAAGGCCUUCGGGUUGUAAAGCCCUUUUGUUGGGAAAGAAAAGCAGCAGGUUAAUACCCCGCUGUUCUGACGGUACCCAAAGAAUAAGCACCGGCUAACUUCGUG
This 492-nucleotide ribosomal RNA is filed under the name uncultured bacterium. RNAcentral's name for it is "partial 16S ribosomal RNA". It matches the Rfam family "Bacterial small subunit ribosomal RNA", at positions 29 to 507 of the family's 1533-position model. The record is from RNAcentral.